RNAcentral lists this ribosomal RNA (945 nucleotides) under Diclidophora luscae. RNAcentral describes it as "partial large subunit ribosomal RNA". It matches the Rfam family "Eukaryotic large subunit ribosomal RNA", at positions 41 to 609 of the family's 3401-position model. Lineage: Eukaryota; Metazoa; Platyhelminthes; Monogenea; Mazocraeidea; Diclidophoridae. The record is from RNAcentral.
AUUCAAUAAGCGGAGGAAAAGAAACUAACCAGGAUUCCCCUAGUAACGGCGAGUGAACAGGGAUUAGCCCAGCACCGAAGCCGGCGUCCGUUUGGGCGUUGGGCAAUGUGGUGUUUAGGUUUUCGCGUUGGGGUGUUGCUCCGUUCCAAGUCCAAUCAUGAAUAUGGCUUUAGCAUGGCCCAGAGAGGGUGAAAGGCCCGUGUGGACGGAGUGGCGCUCUACUGCGUUGACUUUGGAGUCGGGUUGUUUGAGAAUGCAGCCCAAAGUUGGUGGUAAACUCCAUCUAAGGCUAAAUACUGGCACGAGUCCGAUAGCGAACAAGUACCGUGAGGGAAAGUUGAAAAGUACUCUGAAGAGAGAGUUAACAGUGCGUGAAACCGCUUAGAGGCAAACGGGUGUAGUCAAGCUGCAAGCUUAUUUGAAAUAGGGGGGCGAGAAUGACGUGAGUCUGAGCACAUAGAACGGGCAUUGGGGUGCGUCCGUAUGGGCGUGUUCGUUUCCUUAGGGAAAUGGAUCUGUGAAGUGGCAUUCGCCGCUGCAGGCCUCGGUGUCAGGUGUUCUGCUCGCCCUCUCACUUUCUUUAAGCGUAUGUCACGACCGUCGUUGCUGUCGGUCUGCUUCGUCUAAACUGUACUAUGAGUAGUCUUGUGCUUCUCGUUGUAUGGGGGCAGGUAGCUGUGAAGUGGCCUUCGGGUCGUCUUGCAGUGUUAUUGCUGGGCGAAGUGGUACCUGUAACUGUGCAGUGCGGCGGGGCUGGCGGUGCAUUGGUUUCCGGGCGUGCUAAAACAUGUUGGCGUGACGUGGGUCUGGCUGCUUGUUGCUGUCUCUGAUAGCCUUGUGGCGGCUCUGUUGCGGUUUAGCGUGUGGCUGCGUCUGGGCAUUCUUUGCGUUGUGCCGAUAGUCUGUGGCGUACUGCUAGACGAUCCCUCACCCCCCCCUGAGAUA